Molecule: ribosomal RNA, 381 nt
Filed under: Triticum aestivum (bread wheat)
Lineage: Eukaryota; Viridiplantae; Streptophyta; Magnoliopsida; Poales; Poaceae
Description: partial small subunit ribosomal RNA
Source: RNAcentral
AUGUUGUUGCUGUGGAUCGAGAAAGCAAAGAAAUUAGGGGGAGGAUGUGAGAGAGAAGGAAGGAGAGGAGAGGUCAGGGAGAGCCCCGGUGUUCUAACCCUACUGGGGCAUCUUUGCUCCAGGGAGAAAGGAGGGGACCAGCGGCACAAGGAGGAGAGGAGGCCAUCGAGGCGAGCGGGGAGGGGGUGGCGGCGUGGGAGAGGAUGGAGCAGGGAGGACAUGAGGCGAAGGGGGAGUGGGGCUCGGGAGCACAUGCCGGCGGCCGGCAGGUCGAAUUGUCGCGCCACCGCGUCGUCGCCUCCUCUGCACCAUGAGGCGCCACCUCUGCCUCCACCCUCCACUAGGAAAGGAGCUCGAGGUGAACAGGCAGUGGGAAGGUGA